CAGGAAUUCUCGGUACCUUAAGCCCUCAGGGCUGGGGUCCUCCUACCUGCCUGCCUCUGCCCUUCCUUCCUGCAAGGGGUGGGGCGGGAUGGUGUUGACGGUGAAAUAAAGAUCAAAGGGCAGUUCCGUGCGCGGCUGGGGAAGCGUCAGCCACAGCCCGGGACGCGUAAACAUCCUGAGAGGAGGGUCCUGGCGGUUCCUGAGCACUUGCUGCGUGUCAGACACAGGGGUUGCCCUCUUGCAAGUUGACCCGGAUUCUGCAGAGGAGGAAGCCGAAGAAGCUCUGGGAGGCGAGGGCACCUUGGCCUGGUAAUGGCGUUCAAACUUGAGUGGCAUUCUGCCCAUGUCCAAGUCCCUUUCCUCCACCUUGCUGCCUCUAGGCUAGGGGGAAUCCUGGAAGACUCCUCGGAGGAGGUGAUGUGCAAACUGAUCCUUGAGGAAGGAUGGAAAGAAACCCACCCCACAGAAUAGAGGGGGAAAGGCAUGGAAGGGCAUUUGUGACCGAGAAACGGCGACCCGGCACACCCAAGCAUGAAAUGACAAUAACCGGCGCAUACUGAGUGCCUACUAUGUGCCAUUCACUCACUGAAUCACCACCACAGCCCUGUGAGAGAGAGUGGAAGAGAGAGGGAAAGACAGAGAGAAACAUGGAUGUGAGAGGAGCACAUUGAUUGGUUGCCUCCUGCACGCACCCCGACCAGGGCCCGGGCUGGGGAGGAGCCCGCAACCAAGGUGGGAAGACUGACUGAAGGGGCAGUCCACAGGCCACACAGAGAGCUGAGACAAUGAGAUUGUCAUUGCACAUCAGACCAGGAGGCUUAUCCAGGCCACGGGGGAUGGUAUCUAACGUUCCUUCAUUAUGUGCCAGAAGGAGCCAUUCACCAACACUCAGUCUUUGCUGAUUUCCUUUCAUCAUGGAGUCACUCAUUCAACAAAUAUUUCUCGAGCCCCCAUUGUGUGGGGAGAGCUGACCUCACACAGCCGCCCAUGGCAAAGACAGAUGCAUUCUGAGUCUCCCAGGCUCUUCCCUGAACCCCAAACCUUUUGACAACAGCCCUCUUCUGAACUCCCCCUGCACCAGGUAAAAUCCCUCGUGUACAGAGGCCUCAUGCCCAGUGAUGAGGAGCUCUGGCUCUGGCAUCCACAGAUGGGCUCUUAGUAGAUGCUUAAUAAACAGUGACUGUGGCCUGGCUGGCGUGGCUCAGUGGCUGAGCAUCGACCUAUGAACCGGGAGGUCACGGUUCGAUUCCCAGUCAGGGCAUAUGCCCCAGGCUGGGGGCUGGAUCCCCAGUGUGGGGUGUGUAGGGGACAGCUGAUCAAUGAUUCUCUCUCAUCAUUGAUGUUUCUAUCUCUCACUCCCUCUUCCUUCCUCCCUGAAAUCAAUAAAAAAAUAUAUUAA
Molecule: long non-coding RNA, 1399 nt
Organism: Myotis daubentonii (Daubenton's bat)
Lineage: Eukaryota; Metazoa; Chordata; Mammalia; Chiroptera; Vespertilionidae
Source: RefSeq, a predicted model, not a curated record